Molecule: long non-coding RNA, 2114 nt
Filed under: Solanum tuberosum (potato)
Lineage: Eukaryota; Viridiplantae; Streptophyta; Magnoliopsida; Solanales; Solanaceae
Description: long non-coding RNA (STUB_LNC010430)
Source: RNAcentral
GUAUUGAAUUUGCUAGUUUUGUUGCGCAUUAUGUCUUCGAGUAAAGGUAUGUUUAAGGGAGGGCAUAAGAAUAAAGGUAAGUCAUCUAUUUCUAUUAAUCAAAAACUUCCUCGUAAGUCUGAAGAUGAUUCUUUAGAGGAUAGUGAAGAUUGUAUGCAUGAUAAUAAUAAUAAUAAUAAUCGCGAAAGUGUAUCGAGUGAGGAGGAAGAGUCUAAGGAAGUUUCUAGUAUGGAAAAAACUAUUGACGAUGAUUUAAAUAAUAAAAAAUUAUUUGGUGAUAGAAAGAAAUAUAAAAAAGAAAUUAUAAAAUCAAUAGCUAGUGAAAAACUUCUUGAUUUUACUUCUCCUAAAGAUUUUAAUAUAUAUAUCAAUAGAUUAUAUUCUAAUCGUUUGAUUAAUGGUAUUCCUAGAAUAACUUGUUUAAAUAAUAUUAUGAAUUUUUAUACACAAUAUCAACGAUAUUUACGCUAUUAUUUUUCGAAACUUGAUUGUAGAGUUUCUCUUGCACUUGAUAUUUGUCGUGAUGUUCGUAACUUAGAUUAUUUAAUUGUUACAUGUCAUUGGAUAAAUUCCGAUUGGAUAAUGGAAACUCGUAUUAUUGCUUGUCGUUUUAUUGAAGAUAAAAAUAAUAGUCCUUUUAUUGUUGCAUCUAUUAGAGAUAUUUUGACUUUUUUUGGUCUUAAUAAUAAAAUUAUGUGUAUUUCUUUUAAUAAUAAUUUUAAUGAUAUUUCAUCUUUAGAAAUUCAAUCUGUACCACCUUUAAAUGGAAAUUUUCAUGUUAAAUAUAUAUGUGGAAUUUUUAAUUUAAUUGUACAUGAUAUAAUUGAUCUUUUUAGUUCUUAUAUUACCAAAAUUAGAGGAGCAAUAACAUUUAUUUUUCAAAAUAAUUCAAAAACAAGAAUUAAAGAAUUUAGGAAAAAUUGCAAUGAUUUUAACCUUAAACCAAAAAAAAUAUCAGUAGAUAUUUCUACAAAUUGGAAUUCUUUAUACAUUAUGUUAAAUGUUGCAUAUAAAUAUAGGGAGCCAAUUUCUGUUACAUAUAAUAAUUAUAUUGAAAAUUCUGCUAAUUUUUUAAUUGAUUCAGAUUGGGAUAUUAUUAAAGUUAUUGUCAAAAUUUUAUCAAAAUUUCAUGAUGCUAUUAAAGAAUUUUUUAGUAAUUGUGAUCCUAAUAUUUGUAGUAUUUUAAGUCAUAUUACUGUUUUUGCUUAUGUACUUUCUAAAUAUAAGGAUAAUGAAAUUUAUAAAGACUUUAUUAUUCCGAUAAAAGAAAAAAUAAAAAAAUAUUUUAUUCCUAUGCCACCUAUUUUUCAAAUUUCUGCUGUAUUAAAUCCUAAUUUAAAAUUAAUUUAUGCAAAAGAAUUUACAAGAGGAUUAUAUGAAUUAUUAGGAAUUGGUGAGGAAGAAAAACCAGAUUUGGAAAAUGCUAAAUCUAGUUUAUUUUCAAAUACAGAAGCAUUAUUUAACUAUUAUCAGCAAUUAAUAAUAGAUAAUGAAAAAUUAAAUAUUUCUAAAUCUAAAGAAAUAGAUUUUAUAGAUAAUCUUGUGGAAAAAUUACUAGGUAGAAAUAAAAUAAGUGAGCUUGAUUCUUAUGUGAGCCAACAUGGUGAAUCUACUGAUAUUAGUAUUUUGCAAAGGUUGAAGGAUAGAUCAAAAUUUUCACGUGUUAUUGCGAAAAUGGCUCGUGAUGUGCUAAGUGUUCCAGUUGUUUCAAGUGUGGCGUCAGAAUAUGUAUUUAAUAAAGAAAAGAUGCGGAUUGGUGAUAACAACCACUCAUUGUCUAGGGAGACAAUGGAAAUGGUAGUUUGUGUUGAAGAUUGGAUUAAAACAGAGCGAAGAAAGCAACAUGUAGAAAAAACAGAAGACGAAGAACUUGAAGAUGUCAUGAUAAUGUCGGAUGAUGAUCAAAGUGAUGAAAGUGAUAAUCAAGAUUAUCCAACUCCAAUCAAUCCUUCUUAUAUUGAUAUUAAGGAGAUGAUUGAUAUUUUUAGAAAAAUUUGAUCAUAAAUUCAUCUAUCAUUGUAUUUAGAAAUUUCUAUUAUUUUUUGUUCAUGAGAGUAGAACCUCUUGACUCUUGUUGAAAUUUGCAAGUUUAAAAGUUCAAAAAUGAAAGUUAU